GGAUCGGAGUAGACUAACAGGAUUCCCCUAGUAACUGCGAGUGAAGCGGGAAAAGCUCAAAUUUAAAAUCUGGCGGUCUUUGGUCGUCCGAGUUGUAGUCUGGAGAAGUGCUUUCCGCGCUGGACCGUGUAUAAGUCUCUUGGAACAGAGCGUCAUAGAGGGUGAGAAUCCCGUCUUUGACACGGACUACCAGUGCUUUGUGAUGCGCUCUCAAAGAGUCGAGUUGUUUGGGAAUGCAGCUCAAAAUGGGUGGUGAAUUCCAUCUAAAGCUAAAUAUUGGCGAGAGACCGAUAGCGAACAAGUACCGUGAGGGAAAGAUGAAAAGCACUUUGGAAAGAGAGUUAAACAGUACGUGAAAUUGCUGAAAGGGAAACGCUUGAAGUCAGUCGCGUUGUCUGGGACUCAGCCUUGCUUUUGCUUGGUGCACUUUCCGGAUGACGGGCCAGCAUCGAUUUUGACCGUCGGAAAAGGGCUAGGGUAAUGUGGCACCUCCGGGUGUGUUAUAGACUUUAGUCGCAUACGGCGGUCGGGAUCGAGGAACGCAGCGCGCCGUAAGGCAGGGGUUCGCCCACUUUCGCGCUUAGGAUGCUGGCGUAAUGGCUUUAAACGACCCGUCUUGAAACACGGACCAAGGAGUCUAACAUACCUGCGAGUGUUUGGGUGGAAAACCCGAGCGCGUAAUGAAAGUGAAAGUUGAGACCUCUGUCGUGGAGGGCAUCGACGCCCGGACCUGACGUUCUCUGACGGAUCCGCGGUAGAGCAUGUAUGUUGGGACCCGAAAGAUGGUGAACUAUGCCUGAAUAGGGUGAAGCCAGAGGAAACUCUGGUGGAGGCUCGUAGCGAUUCUGACGUGCAAAUCGAUCGUCAAAUUUGGGUAUAGGGGCGAAAGACUAAUCGAACCAUCAGUCCC
RNAcentral lists this ribosomal RNA (910 nucleotides) under Sanguinoderma rugosum. RNAcentral's name for it is "partial large subunit ribosomal RNA". It matches the Rfam family "Eukaryotic large subunit ribosomal RNA", at positions 50 to 951 of the family's 3401-position model. Lineage: Eukaryota; Fungi; Basidiomycota; Agaricomycetes; Polyporales; Polyporaceae. The record is from RNAcentral.